GAGGGUGUAGCUCAAGUGGCAGAGCACUUGCUUAGCGUGCAUGAGGUCCUGGGUUCAAUCCCCAGUACUGCCC
This 73-nucleotide transfer RNA is filed under the name Camelus bactrianus (Bactrian camel). It matches the Rfam family "tRNA". Rfam says of the family: Transfer RNA (tRNA) molecules are approximately 80 nucleotides in length. Their secondary structure includes four short double-helical elements and three loops (D, anti-codon, and T loops). Further hydrogen bonds mediate the characteristic L-shaped molecular structure. tRNAs have two regions of fundamental functional importance: the anti-codon, which is responsible for specific mRNA codon recognition, and the 3' end, to which the tRNAs corresponding amino acid is attached (by aminoacyl-tRNA synthetases). tRNAs cope with the degeneracy of the genetic code in two manners: having more than one tRNA (with a specific anti-codon) for a particular amino acid; and 'wobble' base-pairing, i.e. permitting non-standard base-pairing at the 3rd anti-codon position. RNAcentral also lists the same sequence under 1 other name. Lineage: Eukaryota; Metazoa; Chordata; Mammalia; Artiodactyla; Camelidae. The record is from Rfam by way of RNAcentral.